Molecule: ribosomal RNA, 496 nt
Filed under: uncultured bacterium
Lineage: Bacteria
Description: partial 16S ribosomal RNA
Rfam family: Bacterial small subunit ribosomal RNA
Source: RNAcentral
AUGAACGCUGGCGGCGUGCCUAAUCCAUGCAAGUCGAGCGAACAGACGAGGAGCUUGCUCCUCUGACGUUAGCGGCGGCCGGGUGAGUAACACGUGGAUAACCUACCUAUAAGACUGGGAUAACUUCGGGAAACCGGAGCUAAUACCGGAUAAUAUAUUGAACCGCAUGGUUCAAUAGUGAAAGACGGUUUUGCUGUCACUUAUAGAUGGAUCCGCGCCGCAUUAGCUAGUUGGUAAGGUAACGGCUUACCAAGGCAACGAUGCGUAGCCGACCUGAGAGGGUGAUCGGCCACACUGGAACUGAGACACGGUCCAGACUCCUACGGGAGGCAGCAGUAGGGAAUCUUCCGCAAUGGGCGAAAGCCUGACGGAGCAACGCCGCGUGAGUGAUGAAGGUCUUCGGAUCGUAAAACUCUGUUAUUAGGGAAGAACAAAUGUGUAAGUAACUAUGCACGUCUUGACGGUACCUAAUCAGAAAGCCACGGCUAACUACGUG